Molecule: ribosomal RNA, 406 nt
Filed under: uncultured bacterium
Lineage: Bacteria
Description: partial 16S ribosomal RNA
Rfam family: Bacterial small subunit ribosomal RNA
Source: RNAcentral
AUUGAACGCUGGCGGCAGGCCUAACACAUGCAAGUCGAACGAGUGGCGGACGGGUGAGUAAUGUCUGGGAAACUGCCCGAUGGAGGGGGAUAACUGCUGGAAACGGUAGCUAAUACCGCAUACCAUCGGAUGUGCCAAGAUGGGAUUAGCUAGUAGGUGGGGUAACGGCUCACCUAGGCGACGAUCCCUAGCUGGUCUGAGAGGAGGACCAGCCACACUGGAACUGAGACACGGUCCAGACGCCUACGGGAGGCAGCAGUGGGGAAUAGUGCACAAUGGGCGCAAGCCUGAUGCAGCCAUGACGCGUGUAUGAAGAAGGCCUUCGGGGUGUAAAGUACUUUCAGCGAGGAGGCGUUACUCGCAGAAGAAGCACCGGCUAACUCCGUGCCAGCAGCCGCGGGAAUAC